Molecule: ribosomal RNA, 292 nt
Filed under: uncultured bacterium
Lineage: Bacteria
Description: partial 16S ribosomal RNA
Rfam family: Bacterial small subunit ribosomal RNA
Source: RNAcentral
GUGCCAGCAGCCGCGGUAAUACGUAGGGUGCGAGCGUUGUCCGGAAUUAUUGGGCGUAAAGAGCUCGUAGGCGGCUUGUUGCGUCUGCCGUGAGAAUUCACAGCUUAACUGUGGACGUGCGGUGGAUACGGGCAGGCUUGAGUUCGGUAGGGGAGACUGGAAUUCCUGGUGUAGCGGUGAAAUGCGCAGAUAUCAGGAGGAACACCGGUGGCGAAGGCGGGUCUCUGGGCCGAUACUGACGCUGAGGAGCGAAAGCGUGGGGAGCGAACAGGAUUAGAUACCCUGGUAGUCC